This 494-nucleotide ribosomal RNA is filed under the name uncultured bacterium. RNAcentral describes it as "partial 16S ribosomal RNA". It matches the Rfam family "Bacterial small subunit ribosomal RNA", at positions 29 to 523 of the family's 1533-position model. The record is from RNAcentral.
AUUGAACGCUGGCGGCAUGCCUUACACAUGCAAGUCGAACGGUAGAGGGGCAACCCUCGAGAGUGGCGAACGGGUGAGUAAUGCAUCGGAACGUGCCCAGUAGUGGGGGAUAGCCCGGCGAAAGCCGGAUUAAUACCGCAUACGACCUACGGGUGAAAGGGGGGGAUCGCAAGACCUCUCGCUAUUGGAGCGGCCGAUGUCAGAUUAGGUAGUUGGUGGGGUAAAAGCCUACCAAGCCGACGAUCUGUAGCCGGUCUGAGAGGACCACCCGCCACAGUGGGACUGAGACACGGCCCAGAGUCCUGAGGGAGGCAGCAGUGGGGAAUUUUGGACAAUGGACGAAAGUCUGAUCCAGCCAUGCCGCGUGCAGGAAGAAGGCCUUCGGGUUGUAAACUGCUUUUGUCAGGGAAGAAAUCCCCUGGGUUAAUACCUCGGGGGGAUGACGGUACCUGAAGAAUAAGCACCGGCUAACUACGUGCCAGCCGCCGCAGUAA